RNAcentral lists this ribosomal RNA (481 nucleotides) under uncultured bacterium. RNAcentral's name for it is "partial 16S ribosomal RNA". It matches the Rfam family "Bacterial small subunit ribosomal RNA", at positions 28 to 507 of the family's 1533-position model. The record is from RNAcentral.
GACGAACGUUGGCGGCGUGCUUAAUACAUGCAAGUCCACUGAAGCAGUGGAAGCAAUAUCGCUGUGGAGGUGGCGCACGGGUGAGUAACACGUAGGUAAUCUGCCUUCAGGUCUGGCAUAACUCCGGGAAACCGGGGCUAAUAGCAGAUGAUGCAGCGGCUCGACAUCGAGACAGUUGUUAAAGCUAUGGCGCCUGAAGAUGAGCCUGCGUCUGAUUAGCUAGUUGGCGGGGUAACGGCCCACCAAGGCAACGAUCAGUAGCUGGUCUGAGAGGAUGAUCAGCCACACUGGAACUGAGACACGGUCCAGACUCCUACGGGAGGCAGCAGUAAGGAAUAUUGCUCAAUGGGAGAAAUCCUGAAGCAGCAACGCCGCGUGAGGGACGAAGGGCUUUUGCUUGUAAACCUCUGUAGUGAGAGAAAAAAAUCCCAAUCUUUGGGACAUGAUGGUAUCUCAAAAGUAAGCCCCGGCUAACUACGUG